This is a non-coding RNA of Biomphalaria pfeifferi, 1070 nucleotides long. The record is from the annotation of a GenBank genome assembly. NCBI's taxonomy places the organism in Eukaryota, Metazoa, Mollusca, Gastropoda, Planorbidae.
CACAACAAUUCAAUAUCUGGCCAGUCUUGAACAAUGCAUGCUCUAAAGAAGACAGUUACAAGUUAGCAAAUGGAGUUUAUGUUAACACCAACUCAUAGGCGGCACCUGUGGGUCCGAUGUUGGCUAGGGGAUGCAUAUAUUUAUGUAAAGACUUAUAUCCUGUAAUACAAUCUUAUACCCUAGUUAUUCUUUUAAGUGUUAUUUAUUUGUUGUAAAUUUUCAUUCAUAUUAAUGUCAGCAUUUCAUGGGUUCCAAAAUCAUUGUACCAUUAUAUACAUUUAAAAUUAAAAGUUUAUGUACACAUAUUUGUUGUACCUAAUUCAUCUUACUACUGCUACAUCCCUUUGAGGCUUUCUUCUCCUGAGGACCUGUUGAAGAAUCUCAGUUAGCUAUGCCCUUUUAAAUUCAGUACUUGUAAAGAUGUUGAAGAUGCCUCGUAUUAGCUCAGGGCUUAAGAGCUUAUUUGCAAAGGAUUUAAUUCCUUUCCUCAAGAAUGUGUAGCUUUAAUGUGUUGCUGCCAACAAAUUUAUAUUGUAGAAAAAAAAAGUUGUAGUGGCUACUCAAUACCCUCGUAUACAUCAUGCUAAAUACAAUGAUUUAAUCGUUAAUUAAAACGUGAACUCUGUGUAACGCUUAAGGUUCAAAACCAAUGACUAAUUUAUGUGUAUGUGUUAAGCUCAACUUCCACCAGGAUUGCAACCCAGCACCACGGUUUGGAAGCCAAGCGCUUUAUCGCUCGGCCACCGCACCUUCAUCAAUUUAGGAGCAAUAUUUUUUUUUUAAUCGGAACAUUAAAUAUUUUAUUUAACUUCAGGAGUGUAUGAAUUCAUCUCAAAUAAAUGUUUACUAAUUAAUGUCACUGUUCAUCCUCUGGUAUAGGAUUAAUUAUUUGACCUUUUUUUUAUUUAAAAUAAAAAGAAUACGUUGAACAGCUCUUAGAUAAAAAUACUUACGUAACGUUGACCUCCAAUUUGAACACAGAGGCAACACCUUAUCUUAGGCGGUAACUAAAGUUAAAGACAGUAAUGAGUCAAAUUUACUUUGCAUGACAAGGUAAAGCCCCCCCCCCA